AACUAGGACCAAAACCCAGUAGACUUGGAUUACCAAUAGCCCCAAUACGAGCAGGUCAAAUUUAAGGCACCCCCCCUCAUGGCAGAAAAGACACUCUAACAGGUGACUAAAAUCUUACAAGCAAAACUUGAAUAUAACAAAAUAUAAAAACAACAAAUAUCUCAUCAAUGAGUACUGAAGACCAAAAUCCAUAAACUACCAAAAAAACUCAUAUGUAAGGAAUUUUAUGGCUUUUCAUGUUUAAGAAUGCCACAAUUAAUUCAACAAUGCUCAGACCACAGAUUAAUUUUGCAAAUCCACAAUAAAAGUAAGCAUCAAAAAGAUUAAAAGCACAGUUCUUCAGAAAGAUCACCCAAUUUCAUUAAUUAGA
RNAcentral lists this unclassified non-coding RNA (370 nucleotides) under Hevea brasiliensis (rubber tree). The record is from RNAcentral. Lineage: Eukaryota; Viridiplantae; Streptophyta; Magnoliopsida; Malpighiales; Euphorbiaceae.